RNAcentral lists this long non-coding RNA (208 nucleotides) under Lathyrus oleraceus (garden pea). RNAcentral's name for it is "Pisum sativum (pea) long non-coding RNA (PSAT_LNC000717)". The record is from RNAcentral. Lineage: Eukaryota; Viridiplantae; Streptophyta; Magnoliopsida; Fabales; Fabaceae.
AUAAUUAUAGCAUUCAGAUAUACAUGUUGCAUUCUUUGCGAUAUAUCUUUGCUUGUUAUUUCCUGCUGUUGGUGAAAUAUUCUUCCCCACGCAGAUGUUUGUGUCUGAUCUCUCCAUAUAGAGUCAGCCCUAUAGGCAGAAAGUGACUAUCUUUCGUUCUAUAUUCCCCACUGAGUUAUGUCCUCGUGGAUGAUUUUUUGUUUUAGUU